Callithrix jacchus (white-tufted-ear marmoset) is the source of this 113-nucleotide Y RNA. It matches the Rfam family "Y RNA". Rfam says of the family: Y RNAs are components of the Ro ribonucleoprotein particle (Ro RNP), in association with Ro60 and La proteins. The Y RNAs and Ro60 and La proteins are well conserved, but the function of the Ro RNP is not known. The record is from Ensembl. Lineage: Eukaryota; Metazoa; Chordata; Mammalia; Primates; Cebidae.
AGCUGGUCCUAAGGUAGUGAGUGAUCUCAAUUAAUUGUUCACAGUCAGUUACAGAUCGAACUUCUUGUUCUACUCUUUCCCCCUUUCUCACUACUUCACUUGACUAGUCUUGA